AAGGAAUAUUGGUCAAUGGACGCAAGUCUGAACCAGCCAUGCCGCGUGAAGGAUGAAGGUCCUCUGGAUUGUAAACUUCUUUUAUCUGGGACGAAAACGGGAUUUUUAUCUCAAUUGACGGUACCAGAGGAAUAAGCACCGGCUAACUCCGUGCCAGCAGCCGCGGUAAUGCGGAGGGUGCGAGCGUUAUCCGGAUUUACUGGGUUUAAAGGGUGCGUAGGUGGGCUUAUAAGUCAGUGGUGAAAUCUCCGAGCUUAACUUGGAAACUGCCGUUGAUACUAUAGGUCGUGAAUUAUCUGGAGGUAAGCGGAAUAUGUCAUGUAGCGGUGAAAUGCUUAGAUAUGACAUAGAACACCAAUUGCGAAGGCAGCUUACUACAUAUAAAUUGACGCUGAGGCACGAAAGCGUGGGGAUCAAACA
Molecule: ribosomal RNA, 420 nt
Filed under: uncultured bacterium
Lineage: Bacteria
Description: bacterial SSU rRNA
Rfam family: Bacterial small subunit ribosomal RNA
Source: RNAcentral